CACCACUCAAGCCUAGCUUGGUAUUGGGCGCCGCGGGAGACCGCGCGCCCCAAAGUCACCGGCUGAGCCGUCCGUCUCCAAGCGUUGUGGCAACUAUCCGCUGACGAGACCCGGGCGACCCGGCCGUUAAAACACUUUCUCA
RNAcentral lists this unclassified non-coding RNA (142 nucleotides) under uncultured Teratosphaeria. Its description in RNAcentral is "sequence contains ITS2". The record is from RNAcentral. Lineage: Eukaryota; Fungi; Ascomycota; Dothideomycetes; Mycosphaerellales; Teratosphaeriaceae.